Perognathus longimembris pacificus (Pacific pocket mouse) is the source of this 2906-nucleotide RNA transcript. It is a transcript of the gene named upstream binding protein 1, with no coding region annotated. The transcript is spliced from 14 exons. The record is from RefSeq and is a predicted model, not a curated record. Lineage: Eukaryota; Metazoa; Chordata; Mammalia; Rodentia; Heteromyidae.
GCGGCGGCGGCAUGAGGCGCGGGGCCGGUGUCCGCGGGAGGGAGGCGCUGCCCGCGGCCCGGUCGCUCCCGCUGCAGCUGCUCGCCGGCGCGCUGUACCCUGCCAGCUGGGCCUCGGCCGUUCUCGUCUCGGCCGCCUCCCGGGCCGCCGCUGGUGACCCCUCGCCGCGCCGCCGGAGGCUUCACCCGCGCCCUCCCUCAGGACGCGCCCGCGGAGCUCGAGCUCCUUCGCCUCGGACCCGAAGGCCGCGUUGUACCGGGCGGCGGCGAGGCCGGAAGAUGGCCUGGGUGCUCAAGAUGGACGAGGUGAUCGAGUCUGGGCUGGUGCACGACUUCGACUCCAGCCUCUCGGGCAUCGGGCAGGAGCUGGGCGCCGGCGCUUACAGCAUGAGUGAUGUUUUGGCAUUGCCCAUUUUCAAGCAGGAAGAUUCCAGCCUUCCUUUGGAUGGUGAAACUAAGCACCCUCCCUUUCAGUAUGUGAUGUGUGCUGCAACGUCACCUGCAGUGAAACUGCAUGAUGAGACACUCACUUACUUGAACCAAGGUCAGUCUUAUGAAAUUCGGAUGCUGGAUAAUCGGAAAAUGGGAGAUAUGCCUGAGAUCAGUGGAAAGUUGGUAAAGAGUAUCAUAAGGGUUGUAUUCCAUGAUAGACGUCUGCAAUAUACAGAGCAUCAACAGCUUGAAGGUUGGAAGUGGAAUCGCCCAGGAGACAGACUUCUUGAUUUAGAUAUUCCAAUGUCUGUGGGAAUAAUUGACACAAGGACAAAUCCAAGCCAGCUAAAUGCAGUUGAAUUUCUGUGGGACCCUGCAAAACGCACGUCUGCUUUCAUUCAGGUCCACUGUAUCAGCACAGAAUUCACUCCUCGGAAACACGGAGGUGAAAAGGGAGUGCCUUUUAGAAUCCAGGUCGACACUUUCAAGCAGAAUGAAAAUGGGGAAUACACAGAUCACCUUCACUCAGCUAGCUGCCAAAUCAAAGUUUUUAAGCCUAAAGGUGCAGAUAGGAAACAAAAAACUGACCGAGAAAAGAUGGAAAAGAGAACAGCUCAUGAAAAAGAAAAGUAUCAGCCAUCCUAUGAUACCACAAUCCUCACAGAGAUGAGGCUUGAGCCUAUAAUUGAAGAUGCAGUUGAACAUGAGCAGAAAAAGUCCAGCAAGCGGACUUUGCCAGCAGACUACGGUGAUUCUCUGGCAAAGCGAGGCAGUUGUUCUCCGUGGCCUGAUACCCCCACAGCCUAUGUGAAUAACAGCCCUUCCCCAGCGCCCACUUUCACCUCCUCACAACAGAGCACGUGCAGCAUCCCAGACAGCAAUUCUUCUUCCCCAAAUCAUCAGGGAGAUGGAGUUUCACAGGCAUCUAGUGAACAAAUUCAGCCUUCAGCUACAACCCAGGAAGCACAGCAAUGGCUAGUGAAAAACAGAUUCUCUUCUUACACAAGACUGUUUUCUAAUUUUUCAGGUGCCGACUUAUUAAAGCUGUCAAAAGAGGAUUUAGUUCAAAUUUGUGGUGCAGCCGAUGGAAUUCGGCUCUAUAAUUCACUGAAGUCAAGGUCAGUUAGGCCUCGUUUAACCAUCUAUGUCUGUCGGGAGCAGCCAAGCAGCCCAGCGCUGCCAGGGCAGCUGCAUGCCGCAGGCAAUGGCGAGAGCAGCGGUGGGACAUCCUACGGUGGGUACUGAGAGAGGGGUGCAUUCCUCUCACUGUCUAAGAUCAUCAGCAACAGGAAGGACAAGGUCAGGUCUUAACAGCAGCAGAAGAGCUAGACACAGGCUGAGGAUAUAGUUUUAUGAUGAGUGUUUACCUAGUAUAUGCAAGACCCUUGGUUUGGUCCUCAGCAACACAAUACACACACACAAAAUUGCCUUAACACUUAAUAUGAGGGACUCUUAAAAUCUUCCCUCAUUGUGUGGUAGGUGGCUGGGUCUGUCUCCCUUGUCUACCAUUUUGAAGUCGAGUGAAUGCAGCACACUCAGGACUUUGCAGAGAAACAUGGUACUGAAUCCGAGGAGGCAUUUAUUUGCCCUGAUAACAAGUGGGCAAGGCUCCUGAAAAAUACAGUAGGCCUGGGGUGUUGGAGCACCGCCUUUGUAAGUGUGACCACUGAGUUUGAACCCUAGUUCCACCAAAAACAAAUGAUCUUAUGUUUUUGAUUUUACUGAGACGUUGCAAGGAUAGUAGUCACAAUUCUGAGCUUUUCCAUCCAAGUCAUUCAAACUCGAAAAGGGAGCUAUUCAUGUAUUUCCCUACAAUCUUAAAUAUACAUAUUCUUUAUAUGCAAGAUAAAGACUUUUGGAAGGUAUGUUCCCAACAUGAAUGUUGGUGGGUGUGUGGAAAUAUUGUAGACCGUAACCGUUGAUCAGGUCAGCAAACCUUUUGUUUGAGGGCAUAUAGUAAAUAUCAAACUCUUCAGACCAUAGGGCCUCUUAAACAUUUAACUGUCAUUGUAGUGCUAAAAUAACCAGAGAUGGUAUGUAAAUGAUAACUGUGACGAUGUUCAUUAGCAGACAUAUAUUAGCAGACAUAUUCUAUAAUCACACAACUUUGCUUGUUUGGGGAAGCAAAGUUCUCAGCAAUGAUACUCCUGAUUUAUGGAUGGCUUGAUUCCAUGAUUGAGCCAGGGCCUACGUGAUUGAGACUCACUACAGAUGCAUGCCAUGAAGAUGUUGUAUGUUAAGUUAUAUGUCCCCAAAAUAGGGGGCACUGGGUGGACUGUGGCUGGAACAUUUUAUAAGGAAAGGUCAGGAUUCAUUUUCUCUAUCCUUACCAGUUUUUGUGGUGGUGGUGGUAGUAGUGUUCUUUGAUUUUACUAGGGUGUAUUACUAGAGUUUGAACCCAGGACCUUCUGCUUCUCCAAUUCCCUUGCUUUAGUCAUUUUGGGGGUUGUUUCUUGUAAUGGUACUGGGAUUUGA